GAAAAAUCAAUGCUCGACAUUCAAUGACAUGACUCAAUUUCUCGAGGGGAGAAUUCUAGUAUCUUAAAAACUACAUGAUUUUCAAGCCGUGCAAGGUAUCUAUGUUAUAUAUCACUCAGAUUCAACCAAGUCUACAGCAUAGAUUCGAGACAAGCAUAAUGAAUGAAUACAUAAUCUCUAUUUUCUAAUUUAGAUGUGACAGCUUGGCUAAGCUUAAAAAUUAAGUAAAAGUUACUCCUAAGUAAAAGCAACUCUAAUUUUCCUAUCAAAAUAAGUAACUUAUUUCCUACUUCAAUCAUUUAAAGAUUAACAUUCCUUAAUUCGGAUAAAAGUUGUUUGGCGGUCUCAAUCAUUCCAUUCCUCCCCAACAAAGUAUCAUGUCAUUGUUUGGUGUUUUUAGGCACUCCCCCAAUCCCGAAAAUCAUAGCCUCAAAAACUGAAGAAUGACUGAGCUACAAGAGAUCUUACGCCACUAUGCAUAAUACGAAACAGGUGACUUUUCUAGGGGCAUAUUCCAGUAGUGCAAAAGACAAGAGUGAGGUAUAUUCAACCUUGCUGGUAGUCGCAGUGCGAGAGUUUGAUUUCUGAAACAUGGAUUGAGACUCUUUGUGGGCACCAGUGUACAGGCAGUUCUUGUUCCCUGACUUGUUGGGGCACAUCCCGCGAUUAACCUCUCUCAUGAUGCUCCAGGGGCGGAGCGGUGGGGGAUCCUUAAAGUUGGGGUUCAACCUUUUUAAACAGAUGACUUUUCUACUUCACAGUAGCUAAUCUUUGGAAAAAGUAUUCUUUGCAGUCCAAUCAGUUUCUAAACAUAAUACAAUAAAUUAAAAGAAAAUCGCUUCAGAAAACCAAACUUCUUAUAAUACCAGCUUGAUAAUUUUUAGAGAAUUGAGAAAGGCUC
This 901-nucleotide long non-coding RNA is filed under the name Olea europaea subsp. europaea. The record is from RNAcentral. Lineage: Eukaryota; Viridiplantae; Streptophyta; Magnoliopsida; Lamiales; Oleaceae.